This 417-nucleotide long non-coding RNA is filed under the name Mytilus galloprovincialis (Mediterranean mussel). Lineage: Eukaryota; Metazoa; Mollusca; Bivalvia; Mytilida; Mytilidae. The record is from RNAcentral.
AUAAAUUUUUUGAUUGAGUUAAGUCUGCCAAUUGAUAUUUUAUCGUGUGUUUUUCUAUGUUGUGAUGUUAUGCUAUUGUUUCAGAAAAAGGGAGAAGGUUUGGAUCCAUUAAAACGUUUAAUCCCGCUGCAAAUGUUUGCACCUGUCCUAAGUCAGGAAUCUGAUGUACAGUAGUUGUCGUUUGUUUAUGUAAUAUAUACGUGUUUCUCGUUUCUCGUUUUGUUUAUAUAGAUUAGACCGUUGGUUUUUCCCGUUUGAAUGGUUUUACACUAGUAAUUUUGGGGCCCCUUUAUAGCUUGUUGUUCGGUGUGAGCCAAGGCUCCGUGUUGAAGGCCGUACUUUAACCUAUAAUGGUUUACUUUUUAAAUUGUUAUUUGGAUGGAGAGUUGUCUCAUUGGCACUCACACCACAUCUUCC